GAUGAAGAACGCAGCGAAAUGCGAUAAGUAAUGUGAAUUGCAGAAUUCAGUGAAUCAUCGAAUCUUUGAACGCACAUUGCGCCCGCCAGUAUUCUGGCGGGCAUGCCUGUUCGAGCGUCAUUUCGACCAUCAAGCCCCCGGCUUGUGUUGGGGACCUGCGGCUGCCGCAGGCCCUGAAAAGCAGUGGCGGGCUCGCUGUCAUACCGAGCGUAGUAGCAUACAUCUCGCUCUGGGCGUGCUGCGGGUUCCGGCCGUUAAACCACCUUCAUAACCCAAGGUUGACCUCGGAUCAGGUAGGAAGACCCGCUGAACUUAAGCAUAUCAAUAAGCGGAGGA
RNAcentral lists this unclassified non-coding RNA (336 nucleotides) under soil metagenome. Its description in RNAcentral is "partial contains 5.8S ribosomal RNA, internal transcribed spacer 2, and large subunit ribosomal RNA". The stretch from base 1 to 120 matches the Rfam family "5.8S ribosomal RNA", at positions 35 to 154 of the family's 154-position model. The record is from RNAcentral.